Molecule: ribosomal RNA, 447 nt
Filed under: uncultured bacterium
Lineage: Bacteria
Description: bacterial SSU rRNA
Rfam family: Bacterial small subunit ribosomal RNA
Source: RNAcentral
UCGGGAAUUUUGGGCAAUGGGCGAAAGCCUGACCCAGCAACGCCGCGUGAAGGAUGAAGUAUUUCGGUAUGUAAACUUCGAAAGAAUAGGAAGAAUAAAUGACGGUACUAUUUAUAAGGUCCGGCUAACUACGUGCCAGCAGCCGCGGUAAUACGUAGGGACCAAGCGUUGUUCGGAAUCACUGGGCGUAAAGCGCACGUAGGUGGGCAGUUAAGUCAGGGGUGAAAGCCCGAGGCUCAACCUCGGAAUUGCCUCUGAUACUGGCUGUCUAGAGUUCGAGAGAGGUGAGUGGAAUUCCUAGUGUAGAGGUGAAAUUCGUAGAUAUUAGGAAGAACACCGGUGGCGAAGGCGGCUCACUGGCUCGAUACUGACACUGAGGUGCGAAAGCGUGGGGAGCAAACAGGAUUAGAUACCCUAGUAGUCCCUGAGCGGGCUGGCAAGGCGCAU